CAAUAUUACCUUAACCUCUGAGAACAAUGGUCAAAUAUUGACAGAGAGUACAAGCUGCCUAAUGGUGUCUUUGGCACUCCCCAUCAAACUACCCGGUCAAAGCAACUCUCUCUCUCCCUCUGCAAGAGAGAAAUAAGAGAUAUCAAUAUUCUGCAGGGGGAAGGCCAUUAACAGCCCUGUCUGGAAUGCAUGACUUGACUUCUGUUUGUGCGAAGGAUUCUCAUACAUGACUACAAUCCUCAGGAAUUCUGAAAUGGCAUCCCAGGAACAAAGCCAUAAUCAUAAAUACUCGAGGGCCCAACCCGGUUUCUCUCUGAUUUGAAUAGCAACGUCAGCAUGCAACUGGAUUGUGCUCUAAAGGCUCCAGGCAGUAAGAUUCGUGAAAUCUAACUUUCAAACCGACAAGGCUGGCCAUGCAGUUAGCUUUCAAGUUUCGCAGAGUUCUUCGUCGGGUUAAAUGGAGGUUUUCAAGGACUGGUUUGCUUGUGGAGGAAUUUAGCAAUUGUACAGGGGAGCCAAGUCCCAGACGUAUAGCCACCAAAUCAUACCGUGGGUGGGUUGGAUAUGCUUUGAUUCUAAUACAUUUGCAUUGUCUCUAAAGGUGUUGUGUAAUGCACAGCUUCCAGUUUUUCGUGGUGCUGAAAUUUAUUUGGACCUGUUCGUAGCAGCCAGUCAGAGGAGCAUCUUGGCUUUCAAAGCAGUUCAGGCUUUGUAAAGCAAAUAAGCACGGAUGACAGAACAGAGGCUUCUGCCACAGGCUGAUGGUGCCAGGUAUUGGCCAGUGAUCUUUGGCAUAAGAAUGCGAGUAUUGAUUUGAUCGAGCUAUCAAAGCCUAUACAAAUUGACCAAAGAAUUAUAACAGUCCUGCGUGAUCCAUCCAUUGGCCCCCUCUGGAAAAGCUUUGCUUUUAAAAACACCAACAGAUGUUAGUGCCUAUGGGGAGGGGGGAAUCCACUUUCCCUUUUAUGCACUAUUAGCAACAUUUGGUCACCCGUGCAUUUGGUCCCAUCUGAGGCAGAUACCACAACACUAAUCCUUCUUCCAGUUAAUCCCCCAUUUUAACCCACAUCUUUAAGCUUUCCCCCCUUUUCUUUCUUCUUUUAAAAUUCUCGUCUGAAGUGUGCUAAGUGUUUUCUUCCCAGGAAAAACUCUGCUCGAUUUGAGAACGAUCAUAUUGUUAUAGGUUGGGGGGGGGAACCCCCCAAACCCUAGAAAUUAAUAAAUGGUAGGAUUUUGAUUAUUUGGGAUGUGAAGGGAGAAAUGCCAGCUGCAGAGGAAUUCUGGGCUCACUUGUGCAAAGGGACCUGGCCAAGCUAGGGCCAUUAAGAAACAAUACAGGGCCACUGAGGGCCAUUAGCAAAGCAAGAGAACUGUCCUCCUUCCCUUUGCCCUGAAGUGUCAACAGAGAGUUGGGGUUUGGAAGGUUGGCAGGGUAACUGGGUGUAAGAUGACAAGAAAAUAGUUUUUAGCAAGGUGCUCCAGGAAGGAGAAGGGGGAAGAAAGACUGGAAUCCAUCUUGGGCAGGCUGGCUGAAGGCUGGCUGCGUUGCUGUGAGGGACAAGCCCAUCUUGAAAUGACCAUGCCAUAAGAUCUGGACCAUGCAGACUGAAGGUGUAAACAGGUAAAUAAACCAUACUUCUUAAAUCUAUGACAGUCUCCACUGUGUCUCAAUCAUCCAAGGAACGCAGACCCUGGGUGAGUGCCUGGAACCCCCAGGAAUCUUGCAGAGAGUUGGGGGUAGCACACAUUUUUUGUAAUAAUAUGUUAGGCAUCAAGGAUAAGGUGGCAGGCAAUUAGAAGAGGCAGUUUGUUAGACUGGUGUUCCAUCAUCAAAGAUAAUCUAACUUGCUAUCAAGCCCAGGCCGGACCCAGACUCCUUGGAGGAUGAAUCAAAUGAAAGCUCCCCUUGACCAAAGUCUUGGGGGAACAGGCAGGGUCCCCAUCGCUAACCCUGAAAACCUCUAGGGAGUGCCACCCCAGGGCCACUUCCAGAAGAUCUUUUCAGUGGACCCUUGGUGUGGGUUCCAACACAAGUGUCAGCAGAUGAGCCCCUGGUGGAGUCAGAGACACAGUCAUGUCCCUUCCCCUAAAGGCCUAAGCCCAGGCCAUAGCCCACAGCAAAGUAUAAGCCUGAGAGCCCCAAGGCUAGCAGAUUAGACAUGGCUUGGGAAUCUAGGCUCUUAGUUGCUCCUCCUAGUUGUUGGAAUGACCUAUGUCCCUAGUUCCUUGUCUAGUUUGAGUGCUCAUCUGUUGCUGACUUGCUUCCCGUGGGUCAUGCUUUGGAGUCCGACUGUUUACUCAUGCUUGAUCCUGGUUUAUCUUUGCAUGCUAGACUUAUCUUGCUGUUGUUUGGCAAUCUCAUGUGUGGGUUCCUUAGUCUCCUUAGACUUAAGAACAUAAGCAGAACCAGCUUGACCAGCCUAAUGUCCUUUCUAAUCCAGCAGCUGGUUACUCAUGCAGUGGAAAGAAAACUAGAGCACCCACUCAUCCCCCACUUCAAGAUUAGAAGAGGAAGAAGAAGAGUUUGGAUUUGAUAUCCCACCUUUCACUCCCUUUAAGGAGUCUCAAAGCGGCUAACAUUCUCCUUUCCCUUCCUCCCCCACAGCAAACACUCUGUGAGGUGAGUGAGGCUGAGAGACUUCAAAGAAGUGUGACUGGCCCAAGGUCACCCAGCAGCUGCAUGUGGAGGAGCGGAGACGCGAACCUGGUUCCCCAGAUUACGAGACUACCGCUCUUAACCACUACACCACACUGGCUCUCCCCCAGAAGUCAAAAACAGACAGGGAACAGAAUGUGUUGCCUAGAUAAAAAUAUAAAAUAAAGCCUGCUGGAUCAGUCCAGUGGCCUGUCCAGUCCAACAUCCAGUUCUCAAAGUGACCAACAAGCAGAACCUCAGUUGCCAUAUUCAGAAAGAGAAGCUUUUUCUUUUCUUUUCUUUUCUUUUUGCAAAAUUGCAAAGAAAAUAUGUUUUUGAGGCAACCCUACCGGAGCAGUCCCUCUCCCCUCUUGUGAUUCCUAGUAACUAGUAUUCAUGUUGUCUGACAGUGGAGGAAGAACCUAGAACAUGGGUAGGCAGGCUAAGGCUAGGGGGCCGGAUCUGGCCCAAUCGCCUUCUAAAUCCGGCCCGCAGACGGUCUGGGAAUCAGCGUGUUUUUACAUGAGUAGAAUAUGUGCUUUUAUUUAAAAUGCAUCUCUGAGUUAUUUGUGGGGCAUAGGAAUUCGUUCAUCCCCCCCAAAUAUAGUCUGGCCCCCCACAAGGUCUGAGGGACAGUGAACCGGCCCCCUGCUGAACAAGAUUGCUGAUCGCUAACCUAGUAGGCAUUGCUAGCCUUAUCGUCUGUGAAUUUGUCUGUCUCUUUUGUCUAAACCAUCCAAAUUGCUGGCCAUUGGUGGCCUCAUGUGGAAGCAAGUUCCAUAGUUCAUCUAUGCACUCUACGGAAAAAGUGUUUUACUUUCUUGUAUUUUCUCUAGAGUCUUGAUGCAUAGCCAAAGACUACACCUGUGGGCAUAUUACACAUUCCAGUACUGGGGGGGACAAAUGCAUGAGAGUGAAGGGAGGUGUCGGAAUCAAGUGUAGGAGCCAAGAAGU
This 3589-nucleotide long non-coding RNA is filed under the name Podarcis lilfordi (Lilford's wall lizard). Lineage: Eukaryota; Metazoa; Chordata; Lepidosauria; Squamata; Lacertidae. The record is from RNAcentral.